RNAcentral lists this ribosomal RNA (445 nucleotides) under uncultured bacterium. RNAcentral's name for it is "bacterial SSU rRNA". It matches the Rfam family "Bacterial small subunit ribosomal RNA", at positions 354 to 796 of the family's 1533-position model. The record is from RNAcentral.
GUGAGGAAUAUUGCGCAAUGGAGGCAACUCUGACGCAGCCAUGCCGCGUGCAGGAAGAAGGCGCUACGCGUUGUAAACUGCUUUUAACCGGGAAGAAACCCCAGGACGUGUCCUGGGUUGACGGUACCGGAGGAAUAAGCACCGGCUAACUUCGUGCCAGCAGCCUCGGUAAUACGAAGGGUGCAAGCGUUAUCCGGAUUCAUUGGGUUUAAAGGGUGCGUAGGCGGAGCGUUAAGUCAGUGGUGAAAUCCUGCAGCUUAACUGUAGACUUGCCAUUGAUACUGGCGCUCUUGAGUGCGCUUGAAGUGGGCGGAAUGUGCCGUGUAGCGGUGAAAUGCUUAGAUAUGGCACAGAACACCAAUUGCGAAGGCAGCUCACUAAGGCGAUACUGACGCUGAGGCACGAAAGCGUGGGGAUCGAACAGGAUUAGAAACCCGGGUAGUCC